The sequence is a small nuclear RNA, 126 nucleotides long. Its record names the gene U1. It matches the Rfam family "U1 spliceosomal RNA". From Rfam's summary of the family: U1 is a small nuclear RNA (snRNA) component of the spliceosome (involved in pre-mRNA splicing). Its 5' end forms complementary base pairs with the 5' splice junction, thus defining the 5' donor site of an intron. There are significant differences in sequence and secondary structure between metazoan and yeast U1 snRNAs, the latter being much longer (568 nucleotides as compared to 164 nucleotides in human). The record is from Ensembl.
AUACUUACCUGGCAAGGGAGAUACCAUGAUCAAGAAGGUGGUUCACCCAUAGCGAGGCUCAGCCAUUGCACUGAGGCUAUGUUGCUGACCCGUGGUAAUGCGAUGGACAUCUGAUAUUUGCAAACC